This 2754-nucleotide long non-coding RNA is filed under the name Gallus gallus (chicken). RNAcentral's name for it is "lncRNA (ENSGALG00010030047.1)". The record is from RNAcentral. Lineage: Eukaryota; Metazoa; Chordata; Aves; Galliformes; Phasianidae.
GUCACCAACCACGACGGGCUUCCUCCCAGCGAGUGGAGCUCAGGGGUAAUCGGAGCUGUUUGGAGGGCCGGAUUCCUGACCAGCACUGAGUCGGAACAGCCGUGUGCCAGCAGCACGGCCAACAGGCGAUGCUGAGUUUGGGCUAAGAGCUCUUAACCCCAUGUUGACAUUACCAACCCGAUAGAGGGGAUGGCCUCAUGCUGGGCCCAGCGCUUGGAGUGCUGCAGAACUGCAGGCAGGAUACAAACAUCCGCAUCAGGAAUAACUGUUAGGAUCCCAGCGGUGUGUCCCACACUGAGCAGACGGCUCCGAGACUGCUGCCACCUCCAUGGGAACUGCGGGAGCCCCUGGGGCUCAGUCUGAGGUCUCGUGCUCUGAAAUGAGGGCUGUGCUGUGAGCACGUAUCUCACAGGUGAGCUGUGAGCAGCACUGAAAUAGAGUAGAGUGAAGAGCUGUAAGGUAGCUUGAAGACUGACGUUAAUUACGCAGUAAUUUUCUAGCUGUGAUCCAUGACGGACCUGUUGCUGAUCCCCAGACAGAUGGCGAGUCACACAGGAUGGGCUUCUCUUCAUUUCCAUCUGCUAUAUUUCAUUAAGGCAGCUAAAAAUAAAAAUAUCCUGAAUGUUAUUUUUCCAUGCAAGCUACUGCUACAGCAAUGUGAUACGGCAGUGACUGGAGCUUCCGAGCGACAAGGAAUUCUGAACUGAUUUGUGAUCCUUGGUGUGAAAAGAGACCGCGACCCCCUGCACCAGCCUCAGUGUGAGCGCUGCGCUUCCCUGCGUGCGCUGCAGAAGAGUCUGUUCACAACAAUUCUGUGCUAGAAGGGGAGCACAGGCGUGGCUGUCUCCUCUGAGCGGAAGUUCCCAUUUCUGGGCUCUAACUAUUGCAGAUGGUGCCAUGAAAUGGUGGUGCAGUCACAGAGGUCUCCAUGCAGUGGGAACACGUCCCCAAACCGCUGCUCUGAGCUUUCAGCUGGCGCAGUGCACAGAGCCCUCUUACAGCUUUGUUUGGGGCAUUGUUGGGAUUUGGUUUUAUGGAUUUUUCAGCUCUACUGCGUCUUUGCACAGUGAAGCCGUGCUCUUGCACACACAGCUCUACUAAUCUGUGUUAGUGCCCGGACCUGGCUGAUGCUUGGGCUUCAGAACCGAGGAUGGAGUCUGGCACUGAGAUUUUUAGGCCCAGGCUAUUUUUGUUCCUGGCUCCACUGGCCAUUGCUAUAGAUCUGAAUGCUGAGCGUGGACGUGCGCAAGAGAAGAGCUCUAUUAUUUCACCCUACUUCGAAAAGCCAGAAGGAAGCUUUCAGGCAGCACAGCUCGCAGCACCACCAAUGCUCCGUCUCAGUGGCAGUGCCUGCAGCGCCGCUCGAGGACCUUUGUUCCGACCCCUCCUUUCUUCGUCGCUCCAUGCUUCGAAAAACAAACUGUUUCCUCGCCCUCCUGGCAGUGCUCCCAUGAGGAAAUUCCUGCUCUGCAGCCACACCAUCCCUCCUUCAGUCGGGUCACGUUGCUUCCCCAUUCGCCCGGCCCAGCCCUCACCCCAGGAGAACCUUUGGCUCCGUUCUUGCGCCUGUUCUUCCUCCUCCGUUUAUUGGAGUUCCACCCUAAGCUCACACUGACUCGGGCCCCAGUUUAGCAAGGAAUUUUAUCAUGUGCUCCACGUAACUGGCUUAGACCUUCCAUCUGUUUUUAGCUUAUCAGAGCUGCGGGGGGAGCCGCCCGGUUCCGCACCCCCGGCUCUGUGUGCGUUGGCGUUUCUGAGCGAAGAGUUCACUUGCCUAAAGUGGAGCAGGAGCUCAGAUAAGGAGCGCUGCUGAGCUGGGCUCCAUCCAGCAUGGUGGCACGUCUCCCCAAAGCUCGUGGUGCUCCGCAGCUCUGACACGUUCCAGGUUGUUGGGUGCUCCUCCCACAGCUCACCGCUGGCAUAUAGCUGGGUGCUCUGCGCUUUGCUGCACGUACUGGGAAUCCUGAGAGAGGAGUAUAGGAUUAAAUCUUAGUCUUGGGAGCAGAGAAUGAAGCCAAAGUGGGCAAAAAGUGAUGAGCCCAGAAGUAUUGGACUCAGUGUUUCAUUCCCAGUGGAGUCGGACGCAGCAGAGUCUGAUUUUGCUGCUGGCACCAUUGUGCCAAUACACGGUGUGAUGGCAACGGCUACAGGAGCAGAAGGAUGCCUGGACUGCACGCAGCCGCUUAUAACUUCUGCCUUCAAAGGUUGCCAUAUUUAAUUCACAUCAUGUAAAAAUUCCAUUGGCGAAGGGUGGGGAAAACUGAACGUUGAAUGAGGACUUCUGUUCUCCCGCAGAGCUGCACUGGAGGAGCCGGGCUGUGGCAGUCGGAUUUCUGCUAUAGGUUAUCACAGAAUCACGGAACCAUUAAGGUCCCACCGCCAUACUGAGGGUACAUCACCAUCACAUGUGGACGAGUCCCAUGGAGGCAGUCCUAACAGAGAUGUCACAAUCCACACUACGAUUCAAACCCGAGCAGAUGCAAAAAAGGCAGCAGUUCGGUGAAGUCACUGCGGCGUAUUUCGGAAGAUGUGCCAGAUGGCUGCCAGAGUCUUUUAAACCCUGACUUCUCUUCUGAGCCAGCCAUAUUAUCAUCCAUCAGACGGUCUCUUUGGGCUGACAUUGCAGUGCGUGUCUGUCUCUUUUAGGUUUGCCUUGCUCCUGUUUAUUUCUAGCUGAUUUAUUUAUAUCUGGAACCGAUACAAGUGGCACCAUUUCUUUGUUUCAUUAAAAGAUUCCUUGAUCUAAAUUUUAAA